RNAcentral lists this ribosomal RNA (468 nucleotides) under uncultured bacterium. Its description in RNAcentral is "partial 16S ribosomal RNA". It matches the Rfam family "Bacterial small subunit ribosomal RNA", at positions 28 to 507 of the family's 1533-position model. The record is from RNAcentral.
GACGAACGCUGGCGGCGUGCUUAACACAUGCAAGUCGAACGGAAUGGCUUUCUUUUUGUGGGGUGCUCGGCUGACGAACGGGUAAGUAACAUGCAAUUAACCUUCCUUUGACUUUUGGAUAACUUAAGUAAACUUGGGCACCUCAUGACAUUGAGCUCUGGCUUCAUGGUGGGAUUUGAAAUUUUUCGGCGGUUGGGGAUGGUCUCGCGGCUUAUCAACUUGUUGGUGUGGUAGUGGAUGACCAAGGCUUUGUCGGGUAGCAGGCCUGAGAGGGGGACCGGGAACAUGGGGACUGAGAUACGGGCCAGAGUACUACGGGAGGCAGCAGUGGGGAAGAUUGCACGAUGGGCGGAAGCCGGAUGCAGCAACGCCGCGUGAGGGAUGACGGACUUCGGGUGGUAAACAGCUUACGCCUGUGACGAAGAGUGAGUGACGGUAAUGGGUAAAGAAGCACCGGCUAACUACGUG